AUGGUGAAGGAUCAUCUAAUGCUGAAUGUUGAUCGCCUAAUGGUGCCUGAACCCAUUGAGAUCACUGGAGCACCCAAGAGCUCCUCAUCGAGGGACACCACUGCACUGCCCAUUACAGGGCAUUCCUUUUUUGCAGUUGGAGACAGCAUGGUUCCUGAAGAAGAACCUCUUCUGCAGAUUACGGAGUGCCGUAUUUGUCAGGAGGAAGAUGACAUUAAGAACCUGGAGAGCCCCUGUGCUUGCACCGGCAGUGUAAAGUAUGCGCAUAGGGCUUGUGUACAAAGAUGGUGCAAUGAGAAAGGAGAUGUCACAUGUGAAAUCUGCCAUGAGCCGUAUGAACAUGGGUACACUGCACCUCCCAGACCCCAUCCUGACGAAACUACCAUUGAUAUAAGUGGUGGCUGGACCAUUACUGGUACAGCAUUUGACUUGCGUGAUCCUAGGAUCCUGGCAGUAGCACAAAACCACAUUAUGGAAGCUGAAUAUGAUGAUUAUUCAGCCACGAAUGCCAGCACUGCUGCCUUUUGCCGAUCUGCUGCUCUUGUCUUAAUGGCUCUCCUACUACUGAGGCAUGCAUUGACUCUAACUGAUGAAGACGAUGAUGACACUUCAGCAAUGUUUUCACUUUUCUUACUGCGUGCGGCUGGUUUUCUUCUCCCAUUCUAUAUAAUGGCUUGGGCAAUUAGUAUAUUGCAGCGUCGCAGACAUCGACAGGAGGCAGCUGCGUUGGCAGCAACUGAGGUGGCAUUCAUCCUUCAGUCUGGGCAAGGAAGAGGAGUGCAUUUCACCAUAGCACCAGAUUCUCCUGCCACGCCCCAGCACGAACCACAACCUUGA
RNAcentral lists this ribosomal RNA (837 nucleotides) under Triticum aestivum (bread wheat). RNAcentral's name for it is "partial small subunit ribosomal RNA". Lineage: Eukaryota; Viridiplantae; Streptophyta; Magnoliopsida; Poales; Poaceae. The record is from RNAcentral.